ACGGGGUGCAGCAGGCGCGAAAACUUCGCAAUGUGCGAAAGCCCGACGAGGGAAUCCCAAGUGCUGGCUCGUUAGAGUCAGCUGUUUUUAUGUCUAAAAAGCAUAGAGAGUAAGGGCUGGGUAAGACGGGUGCCAGCCGCCGCGGUAAUACCUGCAGCUCGAGUGGGGAUCGUUAUUAUUGGGCCUAAAGCAUCCGUAGCUGGCUAAGUUAGUCCCUUGUUAAAUCCACCGAAUUAAUCGUUGGAUUGCGGGGGAUACUGCUUGGCUAGGGGACAAGAGAGGCAGACGGUAUUUCCGGGGUAGGGGUGAAAUCCUAUAAUCCCGGGAAGACCACCAGUGGCGAAGGCUGUCUGCUAGAACGCGCCCGACGGUGAGGGAUGAAAGCUGGGGGAGCGAACCGGAUUAGAUACCCGGGUAGUCCCAGCUGUAAACGAUGCAAGCUAGGUGUUUGGACGGCCACGUGCCGUUCUAGUGCCGCAGGGAAGCUGUUAAGCCUGCCGCCUGGGGAGUACGAUCGCAAGAUUGAAACUUAAAGGAAUUGGCGGGGGAGCAC
Molecule: ribosomal RNA, 553 nt
Filed under: uncultured archaeon
Lineage: Archaea
Description: bacterial SSU rRNA
Rfam family: Archaeal small subunit ribosomal RNA
Source: RNAcentral